This 226-nucleotide long non-coding RNA is filed under the name Elaeis guineensis (African oil palm). Its description in RNAcentral is "long non-coding RNA (EGUI_LNC037223)". Lineage: Eukaryota; Viridiplantae; Streptophyta; Magnoliopsida; Arecales; Arecaceae. The record is from RNAcentral.
CUUGCAUGCCAUCCUUAUGUUUUUCAUGCUAAUCUUUCUUGAGAGGAGGCACUAAUCACUUAAGAGGAGCACCCCAUGGUUCCACAUUAAAAACUGAUGCCUCUAAGAUUUUGGAUAGAGUCCUAAGGUGUUAGGACUCUUUAGAAUUAAGUUGCGCCACAACUUUUUGUGUGCUCCUUUUGUCCGUGCAAAAAUCAAAACUCAUAGUGAUUUCUUAUAAGGCAUG